AUGACCUCAGCCUCCCUGAGCCAAGCUGUCCCUGGCCAGGGGCACCAGCACACACGCUGUGCCCUGAAAGCUCCCUGCACCACUGGCUUUGGAGUCUGCCACCCGCCAGCUGUGCGACAUUGGACAAAGGAUGGAACCUUGCCCUUUCCAGCAGCCCAGUUUGCUUCCCAAACUGAGGUUCAGAUGAUCCACAGGUCCUCCAGCUCCUUGCCCAAGCCGCAGCCUGUGUCCUCGCCAUUGCUGACUGAAGCCUGGGCUGUAGGGUCCUCAGGGGGCCUGGGCUGGGGCCGGUGCAGGAGUCCCCAGCUGUUGCCCCAGCUGCCAUUUCUAUCUUUACGCAGAAUGACCCCAAGAAUGAAGUCUGUGCUGACUCACCUGAGAGAGCUGACAGUUCCCUCCACGAUGCUCACACGUGAUUGGCAGCUCUUGUUCCAUCUGUGGCACUGAACUGACCCUCUUGCGUGCAGGGCUGUGAUUCUGUCUCCAAGCCCUCAACCCUCAGUAAGUAUUGGGAAAUGAAUGGCUGUACACAUUUUGCACAUUGUACCAUCAUUUGUUUACCGCUGUAUCUCCUGAGCCCUUUGGAUUCAUUCUCCUCUCUUCUGUGUUGUCUUUUUCCAUGUUUUCUCUAGCAGUGCUAUUUAAUGAGUAUGUGGGAGGCGGUGCUUGUUAGAUGGGGGAGAAAAGACUCAGCUCCUCUGCCUGCAUUUGGCUUAGUUUUCAACUUCAAGCUAAGUGAAGUGACACAAGAGUCCACAGUGGACUCAAAAGAAUGCCUUACAGGAAGCCCUAAGCUCUGGGCUUUAGGCCUACAAUAUUUUGAGUGCCCUUGGUCAGUCACUUCUUUAAUUUGAAUCUACUUUCGAUAUUACUUGUCAGCUAGACUAAUAAUAGCUAACACACAAGGUAGUUUUGAAGAUGAAACAAGACAGUGUACAUAAAAUGCUUGGCACUUCAAGGUGUUCAACCAGUGCUAAUUUCCUUUUACUUGAUUGGUGUCAUAACAUGGCUAUAAUUUGGUUAGUUCCUUAAAAGCAAAAUUCUGUAGGUCUUUGAGUAUUUUACACACAAGGCUAGGUUAUAACGUCCCUCGGUUCCUUUGCUGUUAAAUGGUGCCCUUGAAGCCUGACACUGGACUUUGCCAGGAAGAUAUUAGCUUUCUCCCAGCUUAGGCUAUUUUGGGAUUUGAUGGCUUUGGAAAGAAGAUAACAGCUGACUUUUAUGCAGAUAGAGGAUGGCUGUGCUCUGAAAGAAAGUGCCAAAACCUCAACUAAUGCCACUUGGACAGAACUCAGCACUCUCUGAAGUUGGGCAUUCAAAGGCUAUUAUUUUUAUGCCAGCAUAAAAGUUUACUCAGGAAGUUGCAAAAAAAUAAAAUCACAUAGUGAACUCCA
Molecule: long non-coding RNA, 1394 nt
Filed under: Oryctolagus cuniculus (rabbit)
Lineage: Eukaryota; Metazoa; Chordata; Mammalia; Lagomorpha; Leporidae
Description: lncRNA (ENSOCUG00000035904.1)
Source: RNAcentral